CAAGCAGACUGCCCUAUCGCUAGUUCGUAAGAAUUAGAGGAAAGUCCGGACACCACAGAGUAGCAUAGCGGGUAACACCCGUCAUUAGAAAUUUUCUAAGAGGACAAGUGCAACAGAAAGUAUGUACAGGUAAUGCUGUAGUGAAACCAGGUAAACUCUAUGCGGUGAAAUGCCAUGUAUAUUUAACGCUUGAGGGCUACUCGCCCGAUGUUUUAGGGGUAGGCAGAUGGAGCUAUCGAGUAAUUGAUAGCCUAGAUAAAUGAUAGGGAUGCGUUUUUCGCAUACAGAAUCCGGCUUAUAGGUCUGCUUUUUUU
RNAcentral lists this RNase P RNA (314 nucleotides) under Flavobacterium sp. NKUCC04_CG. RNAcentral describes it as "Bacterial RNase P class A". It matches the Rfam family "Bacterial RNase P class A". From Rfam's summary of the family: Ribonuclease P (RNase P) is a ubiquitous endoribonuclease, found in archaea, bacteria and eukarya as well as chloroplasts and mitochondria. Its best characterised activity is the generation of mature 5'-ends of tRNAs by cleaving the 5'-leader elements of precursor-tRNAs. Lineage: Bacteria; Pseudomonadati; Bacteroidota; Flavobacteriia; Flavobacteriales; Flavobacteriaceae. The record is from Rfam by way of RNAcentral.